UGGUUUAUUUACAUGUCUAACUAUUAAAGUCAAACUCUCAGUUCUGGUGUGCUAAACAAACCUUUCAAGGUAAAUUAGCAGCAUGACUAAGUUAGCCAAUGCCUGGCAGUCACCUUCAGACAAGG
This 125-nucleotide small nucleolar RNA is filed under the name Castor canadensis (American beaver). Lineage: Eukaryota; Metazoa; Chordata; Mammalia; Rodentia; Castoridae. The record is from RNAcentral.